UACAUAGCACUUCACCUCCUCAAAUAUUCGUCCAUAAAACCCUGGAAUGGUAGUGACGGCCAGAAAACCAAGACCCAGGGAGGAGGAUUUGCUCAAGGUCACAAAGCUGGUUUACAGCUGAGCUGACGGGAGAGCCUCGGUGUCUUGGCUUUGUGCUGCUACCUGCCAGGGGCUUCCGCCUUGCUUAGAUAGCUUGCUUUGCAAUACCCAGUGAGGAAGGCGGAAGCAGACUGGCUACAGCCUUCAGCUGGAGGAACAGAGAGCAGGGAAGGGGAGUGAUCUAUUGACCAAGGAGAAAGCUGUAUCUGACCUAUCUGCUUCCAGACCUACCUUCUGAGCCCUCGAACCCUGAAGCUGCAUGCUUUCUUUUACCUGCUCAUCUACCUGGGCUGUCUCUCUUGGAAGAUGACACUGCUGAGCUCCCAGCUUCCCAAGCGGCUUGACUUCUCCCCUUUGCCCCCUCGCCACCCACCCCUUGCCUAAGCAAUCACCAAGACCUUGAAUUCCUUCUGUUUAGUAUUUGAUUUGCUCACUAUUCUCCAUCCCCGCUACCACUCUCUGUCUACCACAGAGCCUACUAAUUAGCCUCUUCACCUCCACUCUUUAUUCCCUCCUAUCCAUUGUACUUCCAAAUACCUAAUCAGAUCACUCUCCUGCUGAAAACCCUUCCAGGGCUCUCAAUGGCCUCGAGUUAAAUGAAGCCCAGACACCUCAUCACAAGGCUCGCAUCCUUUCUCCUGGCUUGUCCAGGGCAUGGCCUCACACAGCACCCCAGCCAGAAGGAUGCUCAGUUCCCUGACCUCAUCAUGCUACAGCUCAUCCUGAUUUGGUGACCAAAGCACAGCGACCCAUAACAAGUGGGACAUUUCUUACUGGCUGUGUGAUACUGAGAAGCAAGUCACCUUGCACUUCAGCCUGUGGAGGUGAACCCAGGACUGUGAUUCUGCCAUUCGGAGCAUUGGCUGACUGCAGAGUAAGACACACGCUCAAGGAACUUAACUCUCUUGUUUGGGCAGAAUGGAAACACUUUGAAAUAAUGGUUCAGGGAAUUCCACCGGGGAAAGACAAAAGCAGGGUCAGAAUGCAGAGGAGAUGACAUGCAAAGCAUGUGAUCCCAAGGCAGUGGGCAGUACCUGAGACUCCCGAGAGGGAAAUCUGCCCAGCCCAGGCAGGAAGGGCUGGAGGGAGGAGACAGCUCAGGAGGCCGAUGGGGCUGGAAAGCAGCAACAGGAGAGGUGAGAAAGGCUCUCUGGGCAAGAGGCUGCAGGUCUCGGUGCCUGCCUGGCCUUCCAUUCUAGGUGCUCAUCUUUAUGGCCCGGUCAUGUGACCCAAAUUGUUCUCUAGCUCCAAGAAAAAAUUCUUUUUUUGUGGUCUUCGUUUUGUUGGUUUUUGUUUUGUUUUGUUUUGAAAAAAGCAAUGCAGUCACUUGGGACUCAACACAUGAAAUGAGGUGGUGAAAGUGUGGAAAUGGAUUAAAAAUAGAGCAGGAACAUUGAAUCAACAGGUGAAAGGGAUCGUCCUAUUCCCAGAAGAAAUGGCCAUUCUCUUAUAAUCGUCCAUAGAUUUCUCUGGGACACAGACCUAGCAGUGGGAUUGCUGAUUUACAGAGUAUGUAAAUGGCUUCACAGGAAAUGCCAUACUGCUCUCCAGG
This is a long non-coding RNA of Homo sapiens (human), 1651 nucleotides long. RefSeq lists it as uncharacterized. The transcript is spliced from 3 exons. The record is from RefSeq and is a predicted model, not a curated record. NCBI's taxonomy places the organism in Eukaryota, Metazoa, Chordata, Mammalia, Primates, Hominidae.